GGUGAAUGCUGGCGGCGUGGAUGAGGCAUGCAAGUCGAAUGAAUUUAGAUUCAUGGCAGACGAGGUAGGAACACGUAGGUACGUACCCCAAAGUCAGGGAUAAUCCGUCGAAAGGCGGGAUAAUACUUGAUGGUCCCGUAAGGGUAAAGAUUUAUCGCUUUGGGAACGGCCUGCGGUCUAUCAGCUUGUUGGUAAGGUAA
This 200-nucleotide ribosomal RNA is filed under the name uncultured bacterium. Its description in RNAcentral is "partial 16S ribosomal RNA". It matches the Rfam family "Bacterial small subunit ribosomal RNA", at positions 28 to 260 of the family's 1533-position model. The record is from RNAcentral.